GGGCUGUGGCUCAGUGGUAGAGCAUCUGCUUUGCAUGCAGAAGGUCCCAUGUUCAAUCCCCAGCACCACCA
This 71-nucleotide transfer RNA is filed under the name Podarcis lilfordi (Lilford's wall lizard). RNAcentral describes it as "tRNA.Ala". It matches the Rfam family "tRNA". Rfam says of the family: Transfer RNA (tRNA) molecules are approximately 80 nucleotides in length. Lineage: Eukaryota; Metazoa; Chordata; Lepidosauria; Squamata; Lacertidae. The record is from RNAcentral.